AGAGUUUGAUCCUGGCUCAGGAUGAACGCUAGCUACAGGCUUAACACAUGCAAGUCGAGGGGAAACGACAUCGAAAGCUUGCUUUCGAUGGGCGUCGACCGGCGCACGGGUGAGUAACGCGUAUCCAACCUGCCCAUCACUUGGGGAUAACCUUGCGAAAGUAAGACUAAUACCCAAUGACGUCUCUAGAAGACAUCUGAAGGAGAUUAAAGAUUUAUCGGUGAUGGAUGGGGAUGCGUCUGAUUAGCUUGUUGGCGGGGUAACGGCCCACCAAGGCGACGAUCAGUAGGGGUUCUGAGAGGAAGGUCCCCCACAUUGGAACUGAGACACGGUCCAAACUCCUACGGGAGGCAGCAGUGAGGAAUAUUGGUCAAUGGGCGAGAGCCUGAACCAGCCAAGUAGCGUGCAGGAUGACGGCCCUAUGGGUUGUAAACUGCUUUUAUAAGGGAAUAAAGUGAGCCUCGUGAGGCUUUUUGCAUGUACCUUAUGAAUAAGGACCGGCUAAUUCCGUGCCAGCAGCCGCGGUAAUACGGAAGGUCCGGGCGUUAUCCGGAUUUAUUGGGUUUAAAGGGAGCGUAGGCCGGAGAUUAAGCGUGUUGUGAAAUGUAGACGCUCAACGUCUGCACUGCAGCGCGAACUGGUUUCCUUGAGUACGCACAAAGUGGGCGGAAUUCGUGGUGUAGCGGUGAAAUGCUUAGAUAUCACGAAGAACUCCGAUUGCGAAGGCAGCUCACUGGAGCGCAACUGACGCUGAAGCUCGAAAGUGCGGGUAUCGAACAGGAUUAGAUACCCUGGUAGUCCGCACGGUAAACGAUGGAUGCCCGCUGUUGGUCUGAAUAGGUCAGCGGCCAAGCGAAAGCAUUAAGCAUCCCACCUGGGGAGUACGCCGGCAACGGUGAAACU
RNAcentral lists this ribosomal RNA (903 nucleotides) under uncultured bacterium. Its description in RNAcentral is "bacterial SSU rRNA". It matches the Rfam family "Bacterial small subunit ribosomal RNA", at positions 8 to 901 of the family's 1533-position model. The record is from RNAcentral.